Pyrus x bretschneideri (Chinese white pear) is the source of this 1208-nucleotide long non-coding RNA. RefSeq lists it as uncharacterized. The transcript is spliced from 3 exons. The record is from RefSeq and is a predicted model, not a curated record. Lineage: Eukaryota; Viridiplantae; Streptophyta; Magnoliopsida; Rosales; Rosaceae.
AAAGAAAUUUUAGUAUAAUUAAUACAUGGAUUUAGGUGUAAUGAUUGUCCACAUGUAUUCAUUGAGCGAAAUAAAAAAAGUUGGAAAAGGCAAGUGUAAAGGGUAUCUAACAUUUUUCUUGUUAUAAUAAUAUAAAUAUAAUAUGAGAGUGGUAUUGCUAAUUAUCUUAGAGUGUGUUUGUUUGUCAUAUCUAACUUUCAAUGGAUUAGACUAGAUUACAUAUUAGUUUAGGCACGUGUUUAUGACAGGCAAGACUAAGUUUGAAGGGACAAAGGAGGGCUCGCCUCAAGACCUCCCAAAAAGUAUCAGACUGCUAAACUCGUCUACUUUGCUUCGCCUCGAACUCGUCUUGUCUGCUUGGCACCGUCUUCGUGGCUGUCCAACAAAUAAACGAUGGACCAGCAUCUUCGUUGAGACCCAAAUUCCCAAAAGACGAGAUCUUCGUGAACCCAAUGGUGGGUGCAGAACGCGAUGAGGAGGAGCGUAAAGAGGCUUACGAGCCACCUAGUGUGCUUGAAGGAAUACAUGAGGCCAAGAAUGCCAGCAAUUUCCCAUCGAAAUCAUUCCUUCGUCCAUGGAACUGUCGGAAGAGCGCUGAUGCAGUGAUACGAUGUCGGGAGGAAAAUCGUACUGUCAAAAGAACUACGAUCAGAUCAGAAAUAAUGCUAUGAAUAAGAAAAUCAAGACGAGAAAAUCAGAUGGAAACAACAUAUAAUCUCAAGGAGAAUCGUUGAUCCAAAGAGACGACCUGUCACCGAGUAAAGUUUCCAAUAAUGGAGGUAAGGGCAAAAGGCGGCAAAAAUUUCGAAGGCAACUUCCGCUAAAUCUACGGAUACCGCAAUUUCCAAGUUUCAACACAACUCUAUCUCUCUGAGCUUCGUCUCCAAUAAACACAGCAGGACAAUUUAAAGGAGAAGAAUUAUGAUGGCAGCGUUAAUCGUAUUGUCGGUGGUUCUGUGUUUUAAUGUAUUGAAUCCAACAUUGAUGGAUUAAUUAUUUGUUAAAUAACAGGAAGGAUUUACAAUUGAGAUUCAUCUUACAAGUAUCUUAAAUCAUAUAGUUUUCUUCCUUUGUAGAUCCUCCGAAUUGCUCCGCUAGCUUCGAUGUGUAUAAGAGGGCAUUUUCUAGAAAGCCGUUUAUAAUUUUCAUUCAAGUACUGCUUUCUGAUAUUAUUACAUUGUCUUGGAUGUAUUUUUUUCUUCUCUGAA